Molecule: ribosomal RNA, 537 nt
Filed under: uncultured bacterium
Lineage: Bacteria
Description: bacterial SSU rRNA
Rfam family: Bacterial small subunit ribosomal RNA
Source: RNAcentral
UGGGGAAUAUUGCGCAAUGGGCGAAAGCCUGACGCAGCAACACCGCGUGAGGGAUGACGGCCUUCGGGUUGUAAACCUCUUUCAGCUCCGACGAAGCGAAAGUGACGGUAGGAGCAGAAGAAGCACCGGCUAACUACGUGCCAGCAGCCGCGGUAAUACGUAGGGUGCAAGCGUUAUCCGGAUUUAUUGGGCGUAAAGAGCUCGUAGGCGGUUCGGUAAGUCGGGUGUGAAAACUCUGGGCUCAACCCAGAGAGGCCACUCGAUACUGCUGUGACUAGAGUGCGGUAGGGGAGCGGGGAAUUCCUGGUGUAGCGGUGAAAUGCGCAGAUAUCAGGAGGAACACCAGUGGCGAAGGCGCCGCUCUGGGCCGUAACUGACGCUGAGGAGCGAAAGCAUGGGUAGCAAAGCAGGAUUAGAUACCCUGGUAGUCCACGCCGUAAACGAUGAGUGCUAGUCGUCGGCAGGCAUGCCUGUCGGUGAACGCAGCUAACGCAUUAAGCACUCCGCCUGGGGAGUACGGCCGCAAGGUUAAAACUC